GGCGUUCAGUUUGACGCGCCCCCAGGAUACCCCACAGGUGAAAGCCCCAGCUCGAGGCCUUUACCCGCCCUCCUCCCCAAGUCCCAGUAAAAGGGACGGUUCAGGGGACAGUCUCGGUGAAACCGAGGUUUAAACUCUGAGCCUGCCUUCCUUUCCGGCUUUCGGAGGUACCCCCAAUCCAAUCCCACUCUGUCCUCUCCUUUGCCUCGACGCCAAAGUCCUUAGCACCAGCCCGGCAUGUACACGGUCCGGCGAGGGGCCGAGGGCUCUGCGCUCCAGGGCCUGGGCAGCAGAGAGGAGACCGGGGGUCAGGGGCCAAGGGGACGGAGCCUGAACUCCGGGUCCUCUCUGGGCAUUGCCCCGCGCGUGCCCUUGGCAGUGCAGCUUGGUCACGCUCGCUGAAUACUUUCCAGUCUCUGUCCGGAACGCUCCGGGGACUUUGGUUUGCACCUAGAGCUCCUUUUGUGUUCUCUGGAAGCGCGGCCCCUCUCCCCUUACCCCUCACUCCUUCCUUGAAGCACCUGGUUCCCGGAGCCGACAGCAGCCCCUCUGCCCUGCGCCCCUCUUCCGCAGCUCCCGGCGGAGAACCGACUGUCCGCAGGCCGUGGCAACCCCCUAUAUGUCCACCAGAUGGCGCUCCAGGCCAGGGGCCGAACGGCGGCCGGACAGCCCGCCCCGGGACUGGAGCCUACCUUGGACCCAGAGCCGCGGCAGGAUCCGCUCCGAGACUGGGCCGCAGGCCCAGGGGGUGGGCGCAGGCCGCUGAGAGAUCGAGGCGCUCCGCGCACCCGAAGGAAACUCCAGACAGAGGAGGCAGACACAAGGAUGGGACUGCCCGAGGCUCGGGAUGGGGUCCUGAGCACUUCCGGAACCGGCUGGCUCCAGCUGCCUCCAGCAUCCUUGUGGGAUGUGGUUCCUCCCCCCAUCCAAGCCGGAUUGCACCUUGGUACAAGCUGCGGCAGAGGCGUAGCUUGAUGGAGGGUAGAUUGGGCAGCCAGCACCGCGGUUUAUUCACUGACUGUGACUUCUUCAAAAGAGACAAGGGGAUACUCAUGGAGGACAUUCAGAAAUGCUCAGGAACAAAACGUCAGUGGCGUGUGGGAGUUCACGUGUCACCAUGGUGAGCAGGAG
Long non-coding RNA from Bos taurus (domestic cattle), 1131 nucleotides. The record is from Ensembl. NCBI's taxonomy places the organism in Eukaryota, Metazoa, Chordata, Mammalia, Artiodactyla, Bovidae.